Molecule: long non-coding RNA, 393 nt
Filed under: Elaeis guineensis (African oil palm)
Lineage: Eukaryota; Viridiplantae; Streptophyta; Magnoliopsida; Arecales; Arecaceae
Description: long non-coding RNA (EGUI_LNC017551)
Source: RNAcentral
UCAUAUCACCAGCACUAAAAUAUUCUCACUAUUGAUGCGAGCUUAAUCUUUUUUGGAGAAAUUAUUGUAUGCAUGACUAUGUUAGAAAGAAACACUUCUCAUGUUUUAUACUUAAAUCUAUCUCAAAUUUGAAAGAAUUCAAUAUUUUUUAGUCUUGUUUAAAUCUGAUCUAGGUUGGAAGAACAAUAGCAAAGAGAAGUAUAGAUCUAGAGGAGGAAGGUAACAAGAAAGAGGGAACAAGGGAGGAAGAAGUCUUGGAGUUGCGGUAUGGUAACCUCUAAAGGAGAAAAAAGGAAGGAUGGAGUAUGAGGUAGGUGAAGAUCUAGGGUUUCAAAGAAAGGAUAGAGGAGUAAUAUUACGAGAUGUAAUCAACAUGGUAGAGGGGGAGGGAAA